Mobula hypostoma (lesser devil ray) is the source of this 3404-nucleotide long non-coding RNA. RefSeq lists it as uncharacterized. The transcript is spliced from 3 exons. Lineage: Eukaryota; Metazoa; Chordata; Chondrichthyes; Myliobatiformes; Myliobatidae. The record is from RefSeq and is a predicted model, not a curated record.
UGCAGUCAUGAACAGGUUCUUCUGGUUUGAUGUAGAUCAGUUCAUUGAACUUUUAAAAAUAUUAAUAAUGAUAAUUAUCACAGAUGCAAGGACUUCCAGUUAGCAGACUGAACCAUGGUAGAAUUCAAUACUCAAGUGUUGACCUUGCAGCAAUGGUUUAUAGUGGUAACUCACUCACAGUUGCCAUGCACAUCAGAAAUUAUGCUCUGUCAGUAUUACAGAUUUCUGAAAACACCCAGAUUAUGAUACAAAACUCUGGCUUCCUCUAUCCUCAGUGAACUACCUGAUUCCGCUUGGGAUUCCAGAGCUCGGGAAGGGUCAGUGAGGUCAAGUCAUCAACUACAGUUUUUGUGUAUCGCCUGUUGCUGGGGCCGGAGUCAAAGCGCUCUGCAGAGAUGGUGUUCGGUGCUCGGUGUCGAAUAGGUGGUCGGAGGCUGGGAGUUUUUUGGACGGACUCGGAGUCAGACUGUGGUCGGAUGCUUCCAGGAUGCUGCACCGGCAAGUUGGCGGCACUGGAGGUUCACCGUCUGCGUGAGAUGAUGGGACUUUCGAGAGACUUUGAGACUUUUACUGUGCCAUGGAAGAGACUAAAGACAAAGACACCAGAGGUAUGGACAACAAAGACAUGCUGAUGAGAGACAAGGGAAUGACUAUGGGGCUGCUUCAAAUCAAUGAACUGGGCCAUGUUCAAGGACUCAGAGGAACUGAAUGAAUACACCACGGUUGUCACGGACUUUAUAAAGACUCUCAUGGACAAGUGUAUCCACACAAAAUCAUUCAGGGUCUUCCCCACCCAGAAACCCUGGAUUUACAAUCUGCUGAGGGCUAGACCUGAGGGGUUCAGGACUGGCAAUCCAGGAAAGUACAAGAGGUCCAGGUAUUACCUCCAGAAAGCCAUCCUACAUGCAAGCUGGCGAUUCUGGACUAAACCUGAAUCACAGAAGAAUGCCCGGCAGCUAUGGCAGGGCUUGAAUGUCAUCAUAUCAUACAAACCAAAAUCAAGCAACAUACAGUAAUUGACAACAAGGCUUUGCUCCCAGGUGAGCCCAAUACCUUUUACGUUUGCUUUGAUGGAAAAAACAUGGUAGCACCUUCACAAACGCCCGGCAAUCCUGUGAUUUCAGUCUUUGAGGUCAAUGUGAGAGCAUCUUUCAAGAGGCAGACUACUACUACUACGUCAACUCAGGCCUAGGGGGCCGGCGUCGGGCACGAUGACCGACUCUCCACUUCUCCCUCUCCAUCAUCAGUGUGUUCAGUUCACCUACAUUAGCCGCGCCGCUGUCUUCUAGGAGCGUGUUGACCAUAGUCUUGGGAGGGCGCCCAGGGUUCAUCCUUCCGUGCUUGGGCUCCCAUAUGAUGACUAGGCUGGCAGGUAGCUCGGGGUGGCGUAGACAGUGCCCCGCUAGUUGCAGUCUUCUCGCCUUGAUUUUAGUGGAGAGCAUCAGUAGGUUGUUAUAGAGCUCAACGUUCGUCAUGUGCUGUUGCCAACUCACAUCAAGAGCCAUCCGGAGCAUUCGUGUAUAGCAACCAUCUAGAGACUUUCACAUCGUCUUGGUGAGUGUCCACAUCUCGCAUCCGUACAUGAGAACGGACUCUAUGACGGCUAUGAAAAUCCCCUUUUCAAGCCCUCUGGUCAGGUUUGACUUCCAGAUUUCCUUCAUGUCGUUCAUAGCCCUCCACGCCAGCGCCUUCCGUAUCUUUAUGUUCUUCUCCGAACUCAUCAAGAGGCAGAACCCACGGAAAACAUCUGGUCCUGACGGUGUACUUGGCCAAGUACUGAAGACCUGUGCUAAUCAACUGGCUGGAGUGUUCGUGAACACCCUCAACCUCUUGCUUUGGCAGUCUGAGCUCCCCACCUGCUUCAAGCAGUCUUCAAUCCAUACCGGUCCUGAAAAAGAACGUGGUAGUCUGCCUCAAUGACUGUCGUCCUGUGGCACUGACAUCCACUGUGAUGAAGUCUUUUGAGAGGUUGAUCAUGAAGCAUAUUCACUCCUACCUGAGCAGAGAACUGGAUCUGCUCCCAUCUACCUACUGUCACAACAGGUUAACAUGAGAAGCCAUUUCACUGGCCCUUCACUCAGCUCUGGGACAUCUGGGGUAUGACGGUGCAGACAUCAGGAUGCUCUUCAUUGACUACAGCUCGGCAUUCAACACGUUCAUCCCUCGGCACUAUUCAACAACCUGCAAGACCGAGGCCUGGAUACCUCCUUGUGCAACUGGAUUUUCAAUUUUCUCAGUUCAGAUUGGCAACAAGAUCGCCUCCACAAUCACCAUCAGCACAGAUUCAGCACAAGCCUGUGUGCUUAACCCCUCACCCUCCCACCGCUCUACUCACUUUAUACUUAUGACUGUAAGACUCAGUACAGUUCCAAUGGCAUACUUAUGUUUGCUGACGACACUAAUGCUAUUGGCCAAAUCCAAGGUGGUGAUGGAUGAGCAUAUAGCAGGGAGAUUGAAAAUAUCCUGAGUGGUGCUGGAGCAAAGACUUCUCACUCAAAGUCAGCAAGACCAAAGAACUGAUUACUGACUACAGGAGGAGGAAACCAGAGGUCCAUGAGUCAGUCCUCAUCAGGGGAUCAGAGGUGUGGAAUCAUUAACGCUCAGGAACAGAAAAGUCUACAGAAGGUGGUAGAUAUGGUCCAGUCCAUCACAGGCAAGGCGCUCCCCACCUUUAAACAUACUUAGAAGGAUGACUAGCACCAGAGAGCAUCUAUCAAGCACCUGCAACCAUCCAGGCCGUGCUCUGUUCCCGCUACCAUCAGGCAGGAGGCACAGGAGUCUCAGGUCCCAUACCACCAAGUUCAAGAACAGUUGUUACUCCUCAACCAUCAGGCUUCUGAAACAGCGUGGAUAACUUCACUCACCUGAACUCCGAACUGAUUCCACAACCUACACACUCACUUUCAAGGAGUCUACAACUCCUGCGGUCAGCAGUAUUUUUUUUAUAUUUGCACAAUCUGACCACUUUUGCGCACUGGUUGUUUGUAAAUCUUUAUGUAUAGUUUUUCAUAAAUUCUAUCGUAGUUCUUCAUUUUUCAGUAAAAACCUGCAAGAAAAUGAAUCGUAAGGUUGUAUAUUGUGACAUCUACGUAUUUUGAUAAUAAAUUUACUUUGACUUUGACUUUUAUUUGAGCCUGCAAUGACCUGCUUAAUAUGCAGUUCACAAUGAUCACUGCACAAUUCCCAUUCCUCCCACUCCACAAGUCAUCACUGAACACUCCAAUAAUACCAACACAGCAAGUUAAAUGCAGCAGUCAGGAAUGAGUACUCCCAUGGUAUUGCACCAGCCUCUGACCCAUCGUGAAGCCUCAGGAAACCAUAAAAGCAUUCUCUUUCCAAAAUGAAUUAUGGAUCACACACCUUCCCUGUGCAGCGGUGUUUGUUUUAAAAUUUGUUGCUAUUCA